Molecule: ribosomal RNA, 440 nt
Filed under: uncultured bacterium
Lineage: Bacteria
Description: partial 16S ribosomal RNA
Rfam family: Bacterial small subunit ribosomal RNA
Source: RNAcentral
CCUACGGGUGGCAGCAGUGGGGAAUAUUGCUCAAUGGGGGAAACCCUGAUGCAGCGACGCCGCGUGAGGGAUGAAGUUUUUCGGAUUGUAAACCCCUUUUUUUAGGGAAGAUAAUGACGGUAUCUAACGAAUAAGCACCGGCUAAAUCCGUGCCAGCAGCCGCGGUAAUACGGAGAGUGCAAGCGUUCCUCGGAAUCACUGGGCGUAAAGCGAGCGUAGGCGGGAUGGCAAGUCAGAUGUGAAAUCAUAUGGCUGAACCAGAGGACUGCAUUGGAAACUGUCAUGCUAGAGUAUCGGAGAGGCAGGUGGAAUGCUUGGUGUAGGGGUGAAAUCCGUAGAGAUUAAGAGGAAUACUCAUUGCGAAGGCGACCUGCUAGAACAUAACUGACGCUGAGGCGCGAAAGCGUGGGGAGCAAACAGGAUUAGAUACCCGAGUAGUC